AGAGAAAGUACCUUGAUUAUAGUAAAAGUAUCAAGAUGUGUUUGCUUAUCGCUGUUAAUUAAAUAAAGAACUUAAAAAAAAGUAGAGUCUCAUAGCUCAGCUGGUUAGAGCGCUACACUGAUAAUGUAGAGGUCGGCAGUUCGAGUCUGCCUGAGACUACUAAUUUUUUUUUAAAUAGGAAAUUCUAGAAGUUGCGUAGUAGUUAUAGUCUAACUACUAGCUACUAUAUGCUAACUACUAGUAUAUGGGGGAUUAGCUCAGCUGGCUAGAGCGCCUGCCUUGCACGCAGGAGGUCAUCGGUUCGACUCCGAUAUUCUCCACAACUCUUUAGGUUGUUAUAUCGCUACACAAUAAAACAGAUGUUAGUAAUUAGUUUUUAUUGUGAUUGAGGAGCAAUUGAUUAGAAGAGAAAAGUUCAUUGACAUAUUGAGAUACAAACACGAGCACAUUAUAUUUAUAUAAUGAUGUUUUAAAAUUUUAAAAAUAAUAAGAGCAAAAAGUAC
This 503-nucleotide unclassified non-coding RNA is filed under the name uncultured Flavobacteriaceae bacterium. RNAcentral describes it as "16S-23S ribosomal RNA intergenic spacer". The stretch from base 86 to 159 matches the Rfam family "tRNA". The record is from RNAcentral. Lineage: Bacteria; Pseudomonadati; Bacteroidota; Flavobacteriia; Flavobacteriales; Flavobacteriaceae.